CGCAUCUUGCACUCUUGGGUUAUUCCUGAGAGUAUGCUUGUUUGAGUGUCACGAAACCCUCUCAACCCCGCCUUGUUUUAUUACAAGGUUGUUUGGGCUUGGAUCAUGAUAGUAUGUCGGUUUGAUUAAGUUCAAUCGACUCUGUUGAAAUACAACAGGCUGAAUUAACAUACUUGCGGCUUGACCUAUUGUUGUAAGAUUUUGAAAUCAUCUCAAUGGGAACGCAUAGAAAGUUAAAGGAGUCUCAUUAAAACCCCUUAUUUCAAUUUCCGACCUCAAAUCAAGUAGGACUACCCGCUGAACUUAA
Molecule: unclassified non-coding RNA, 307 nt
Filed under: fungal sp.
Lineage: Eukaryota; Fungi
Description: partial contains 5.8S ribosomal RNA, internal transcribed spacer 2, and large subunit ribosomal RNA
Source: RNAcentral